This 462-nucleotide ribosomal RNA is filed under the name uncultured Sulfuricurvum sp. RNAcentral's name for it is "bacterial SSU rRNA". It matches the Rfam family "Bacterial small subunit ribosomal RNA", at positions 29 to 507 of the family's 1533-position model. The record is from RNAcentral. Lineage: Bacteria; Pseudomonadati; Campylobacterota; Epsilonproteobacteria; Campylobacterales; Sulfurimonadaceae.
AGUGAACGCUGGCGGCGUGCCUAACACAUGCAAGUCGAACGAUGAUUGGAGAGCUUGCUCUUCAUGAUUAGUGGCGCACGGGUGAGUAAUGCAUAGGUAAUGUGCCCCUUAGAGGGGGAUAGCCACUGGAAACGGUGAUUAAUACCCCAUACUCCUUCUGGUCAUAAGGCCAGUCGGGAAAUGUUUUUCGCUAAGGGAUCAGCCUAUGUCCUAUCAGGUAGUUGGUGAGGUAACGGCUCACCAAGCCAAUGACGGGUAUCUGGUUUGAGAGGAUGAUCAGACACACUGGAACUGAGACACGGUCCAGACUCCUACGGGAGGCAGCAGUGAGGAAUAUUGCACAAUGGAGGAAACUCUGAUGCAGCAACGCCGCGUGGAGGAUGACGCAUUUCGGUGUGUAAACUCCUUUUAAGAGGGAAGAUUAUGACGGUACCUCUUGAAUAAGCACCGGCUAACUCCGUG